UCUUUUAGAUGAAGGGAAGCCCUUCAAGCCAGGUGUUGGGGGACCUUUCAUUUCAGAGGCAGCUAAUGAGCAGCAGGGCUCGUUUAUUAAAGCGCUAAAUCAGAGGUCUUCAACGUUUUGCGAGCCAAGGUCCCCCAAACUGAUGGCGAGGUGGAGCAGGGACCCCCUAUUCUACGGAACUUGGUCCACCAUCUAUUAUUUUUGAGCUUUGCGCUCUUUAGACGUGAGCAUAAACGCGAUCUGAUUGGCCGGUGCUGAGGCUGAGGGACGCUGAGUGUGUGUUGCGCACUGACAGAUAACGUCUUCUCCAUCAAUUUAUCCGUUCGCUUCAAUAUGUUGGAUUCAUGUUAAUGUGUAUUUAAAGACCAUAAAUAAAAUUCUGAUUCUGAAGACAUUUACAUUUGUGGGGGAAAAGAAUUGUCUUAUCAACGAAAAAUUCCGCAACCCCCCCCCCCUGCAGUACCUUCGCGGACCCCCUGUUGAAGACCUCCGUGUCUGCGUACGUUGAAAGGAGGAAAUGGACGUUCAUACAUUCUGCCAGAGUAUUUAUCCCGCUGCAUUACACAUUAGCAGUGGAUGUUUUACAGUGUUGCUUCCAAAAUGAUCCCUACAAUCAGUAGUUUUCACCUGUUAUUCUAACACAGUUCCACAAAGCUGAAUACAAUUUAUCUGUUCAUCUGCCGAUUUGAGUUCUGAGUUGCUUUAUGUUUGCUGAUCAAAAGGGGCUUCUAGUUGUGGCCCAAAUGUACAAACCAGACUGCUGGUUUCUGUUUGGAGGAUCUAGAAGUCUCUCAGGCUCCUUUUUGUGCGUCCGCAGCGUUGAGCACAUCGGAGCCAGAUGCCGUGUGUGCAAAAACCAAAUUAUCAUGUGAUCGCUUAUGAUAAAAAUGUAACCUUGUACUACUAUCAGAUUGUUGUGUGCAUGUAAAAUACGCUAAACACAUAAUGAAAUGUUCCUGUGAUUUAGUGUGGUGGUCAUAUAAAUAGUCACUCUAUUUGUGUUCAAUUUAGCGCAUUUGUUUGUAUAUUUAAUGAUUUUUAUAAUUCUUUGUAUUUAGUUUUAUGUUUUAAUUAGUAUGUAAAACAAGUUCUUGGAAAGCAAUGAGAUAUUUAGAUAUUGGUUAUUAAUAAAGGCAUUUUAGAGAUUCCUUUCCAGUGCGGUGAAGCAGGAUUCCGCUUUCCAUGUAAUACGUCUUAUAAUCAUCAUUUCCUUUGUUGUUCCAUGUGAAUCUUGUUAAUAUGAAUCAUUUCCUUUGCUUGCCUCGUAGACACUAUGACUUUAAUACGCUGUUAAGGUUUUUCAUUUAGGAAUGAAAGCACUCUGAGCUCACUUUGUCCAGCGCAUUUCUUCUCCAAUUGUAAACACACCCGCAGAAAAUGUAUUUCAGAAAGAUUUUUUUUUAUUACUUUACCCACUAAAAAAAACAUGAAAUAUUGAAAAAAAGUAUAAAUAGCACACACUUUUAUAAAAGACAGUUGUCAGUGAUUCUUUUCACAUUACAUUUGAUAUAUCAGAGAAAAGCUUAUUUCCAGAAAUAACAGACAGCAUAACUCCCGAUGCGCAGGUCCUGCAUCUGAUGAAAACACACUAAAGGAACAGAUGAUGCUAAAGCACACGAGCAUGUGUCUAAACACUGUAGAGCACACCUAUAAAAACAACCCUCCUCUCAGUAUUUCCACGGCAUAGCUUAUGUAAAACGGCCCAGUGCAUUAUGAAGCGUAGUGCAUUUAAAGGUCUAAUCAGUCUAACCCCGUCGGCCAUGGCUGCACUCGCAUGGUGGGAGGUGAUUCAAAGGGAGUCCUAUUCCUAAGCUUUUCCCUCCGCUCUACCAGGGUACCAGGGGAGGAUUACAUCACCGUUUUGUAACCGGUGGGAGGGGGGGGGGGGCUGACUGCAGGGUUCAGUGUUGCAUCGGGCCUGACGGAAGUCUUUGUGGCGUAAAGAGUUUCAGGCUCAAAGUUAAGGCCCCGAAAGGCUGAUUUAAAUCCUCCUCCUCCUCCUCUUCCUCCUCUCUCGGUCCUUCCCUCGCUGCACACCUCCCAUCCUGGACCGCAGCCUCCUGACUCCUGCAUCCCUCGAUUGUAGUGCAAAUGAUGUGAGCCCUUUCCUCGUGCAUGGUCCUAAAAGGAUCCACCUGGAAUGUACAACACAUGAACUUAAUGAGCACAAACGUAAAUAAAGUACACGUUGAGGUGGAAUGCAGACCAGGAAAAUGCAAUCUCAUUUCAACUUGUCAGAACAACUUACAUAUUUGAGAUGCUUUAAAGUAUACGGCAUACUAAAGACAAAAAAAAAUCCACUUGCCAAUUUCAA
This is a long non-coding RNA of Gasterosteus aculeatus aculeatus (three-spined stickleback), 2314 nucleotides long. The record is from Ensembl. NCBI's taxonomy places the organism in Eukaryota, Metazoa, Chordata, Actinopteri, Perciformes, Gasterosteidae.